AUGGAGGUGCAGGCCCAAGUACUUCGAAUCAUCAACAAGAAAUCCAAGAAAGAACAGCGAAGGAAAAACGUGACAAGAAAAGUGUUUUCUCGACUCGAGAUGUUAGAAGGUGCUAAAUCAAUAGGUGUCGGAGCUGCUACAAUUGCUUUAGCCGGAGCUACUGUCGGUAUUGGAAAUGUCCUCAGUUCUUUGAUUCAUUCCGUGGCGCGAAAUCCAUCAUUGGCUAAACAAUCAUUUGGUUAUGCCAUUUUGGGCUUUGCUCUCACUGAAGCUAUUGCAUUGUUUGCCCCAAUGAUGGCCUUUCUGAUCUCAUUCGUUUUCCGAUCGCAUAAAAAGUCAUGA
This 342-nucleotide ribosomal RNA is filed under the name Triticum aestivum (bread wheat). Its description in RNAcentral is "partial small subunit ribosomal RNA". The record is from RNAcentral. Lineage: Eukaryota; Viridiplantae; Streptophyta; Magnoliopsida; Poales; Poaceae.